This 5842-nucleotide long non-coding RNA is filed under the name Mytilus galloprovincialis (Mediterranean mussel). Lineage: Eukaryota; Metazoa; Mollusca; Bivalvia; Mytilida; Mytilidae. The record is from RNAcentral.
CUCAAAAUAACAAGGUAUAAUCUCGAGGGUAAAAUACAAUUGUUUCUUCACAAUGUUAGGAUAUUAUUAAUGACAAAUCCUGUAUCAAAGGUGAGUUAGAUGUUUACUAUUCUUAACUAUGUUAAAUAUAAAUAGGCUUACGUGUACGUAUUACCAAAAGCUACUUUCGUUUUUGUUGUAAAUGCCGAAAGGGUUUUACGUUUUCUUUUUGUUUGCAUUUUAUGAAGUGAACAGUGGAGGGAUGAGCUAUUAUUGAAAAUAAAGCAUUCAUAUUUUCACGUUUGCACCAUUUUAUAUUUUGUCAUAUCCGAGACCUUUCAUCGCUUAAUUUGGGAAUGUUGUCCUCUUUUAUUGAAGGCCAUACGGAGCAUAUGUACGUGGGGACAUGUUGGUUUACUGUUGAUUUAACCAAAUUAAUUGAUAGUAAACACAUAACAAAUGUUGUUGUUUUUGUUUUAAUCGUUGUUAACUAAUGAUUUCAUAUAUAAAAUCGAGCGUUGUGAAACAAGACAUUUAAAUAACGGAUCAUCUGAUUGUUUAUAGAAGUCUUGAUUUACACAACACACUACUAAUAGCAUUUACACAUGGCAGUCAAUAAAUACAUGUAGCAGCUUUUCGAAAAAGCUUGCCGUUUUAUAGCUUUCGUGUUAAAAAAUAGUCUAUCUAAUCUUUAUUUCUUUAUAGCAUACAAAUAGUAUUUGUGUUCACAAAUAAAGGCAAAAGUAGUUUACCGCUGUUCGAAAUUAAUGAAUCGAUUAAGAAAAAGCAAAUGAAGGUUACAAACUAAAACUGUUAAAAACGCAUCAAAUAUAAGAGAACGACGCCCAAACAGAAACACAACACACAUAAACGAAUUAUAAUAUAACAAUGGCCAUUUCCGUGACAUGGUACAUGACAUUUUAGGGAAAAAAUGGUAGGUUUAACCUGGUUUUCCGACAUGCCAAACCUCCCGCUAGUAUGGCAAUUUUAAAUAAAACAUUACAAUAACAACCUUACAUAACAAAACUACAAAACAAAUAAAUGGAACAUAUAUUGGACAAUGAACCACACGAAUAAUAGCUAACAAAAGGUACUAGGUUUAAAAUUUAAUACGCCAGACGCGCGUUUCGUCCAUACAUGACUAACGUGUGACGCUCAGUUGAAAAAAGUUUGAGAUAGUGGUUAGGCUUAAGACAAGUGAAAGAUACCUAGGGAACAUUCAAACUCGAUUAUUCACAAAUGAACUGACAACGCCAUGGAUACAAAAGAAAAAAGACAAAUACAAAAACACAUCAGGCGUAAUGACUAUUAACCCUAGGGAAGAGCUAGAGUAGAAUACUCAUUUAUUUACUCUUUGUUUGUAUGUGUGUUAAUGUUUGACAACAAUUUCAUUAAAAUAUUGUAAUAUUUGUCCCGACAAACUAACUCACAAAAUUUGUAUCCCAAUGAAUCUUUAUUAUACCUAUACAAGUGGUUCCCAUAUCGUUCUUCAUCUUCGCUUGACAAUGAUUACGAUCCACUCCAGUUCUCUCCGCCCUUGGCAGAUUAAGCAAAUAUUUGUGAUAUCAAUAUUUCGCCAUCUGUCGGAAGAUAAAAGUCACGCCCAUUCUGAAUACAUUAUUCUUUACCAAUGGUAGCACUUGAACUUUUCAAUUUGGAGGUAAAACACGGUUACGUCUAGGUUCUACACACUUGGUAAAGCUUGAAACGAAAAUAUAAGUCAACAUUCAGGCAUUUGUGCAUGACACAUACAGGAACUUCUGUUACUUGAUUAAAAACAUUCAACUUGUCACUAAAUAUAGUCGCAUGUUUAGUGAUUGUAAGACAUGUGCACAAUAAACACGUGGCAAUUGUUAACAAACAAUAUUUACAUUUACAUGUGAUCAUGUUGAAGGCAAUGUUUGAUUGGAUACAGCGAGUUUCUACUGCAACCAACAAAAAUCCUUACCUUGAUGCUCCGAAAUUUAAUCUCAAUCCGCCAAGGGGGAGAGAACGGGAGUGGAUCGUAAUCCUUGGCUAGCGAAGGUGGUCGUUCUUGAGCAGGCCUAGGGUUCAGUUGAGUAUAUAUAUAUAUUUUUUGCAAAAAAAAUAAAUAAAAGGAGUAAAUAAGAUUUUACAGAAUGGCCUAUUGUCAUGUAAAGUAAAUUCUCGAGUCUGUGACUCUCUGAUUGUUAAUUUCUGUCUCUAUUUCGCUGUUCUUUUUAGGUUUGUCUUAAACCUUUGUAUCAAUCCCAUUAGUAUUCAACUGGUUAUAACUGUUGGUUCCUAGCUACAUGAUCGACACGAAAGGAUAUGGUGUAUCCAUCCAUGAAAUAAAAUCAGUACAUUUCGGGGCCUUUUUAUAGCUGACUAUGCGGUAUGGACUUGGCUCAAUAUUUAAGGCCAUCCGGUGACAUAUAGUUGUUUAUUAUUGGUGUCAGUUGGUCUUUUGUGAAAAAUUAUUUUAUUUGCAAUGCUACCACAUCUGCUUUGAAUAUGCACAACUAAAACAAGUCAGGUAUUGACGUAUGAUGCACUGUAACAUUCCUGUCCAAUGUUAGGGGUAGGUUUGAUAUGUGCCUGUUCGAAAAUUAUAAGCCAGAAUGUCAUUGCUUUCUUUCUUUGCUUUGUAUUGUCUUUUCGUUAUUAAACGUUUUGUACAUAAAUCAAUGACGUACCAUGUCAUUUCGAACUUUUUGUAGCUUUUAAUGUGGUAUGAAUUAAAAAAUACUGAAAGGUUGAUGUUUAUUAUUAACAGCAAAUAAAUCGACAAAUUUAUCAUUUCAAUUUAUCCACAAGUCAAUAAAGCAAUCAAUCGACCAAUACACUCAACGACCUUUUGUACUAAGAAGUUGAAUUGUCACUAUAUAAAUAACAUAUAGCUGAGAGGGUGAUAGAGCAGAUUGGUACCCCGAGAAAACAUUGUCAACUGCGGCGAAGCCAAGGUUGACAAAUCCUUUUCGAGGGGUUCCAAUCUGCUCUAUCACCCUCUCAGCUAUGUGUUAUUUAAUUUAUUAUACUGAAUGUUCUGUUAUUACUGUCGAUUUUUUAAAAUUCAAAGUAAUAAACUGUGACAUUUUGUACAUAACCAUCCGUAUUUAAUAAAGCGCACACUUGAUCAAACGUCUCCGUGAAGGGUAAUAGAGAAUUUGCCAUAGGAAAGUGUCGUAUUGAAUAAAGCGCUAACUUGAUCAAGCGUCUCUGUGAAGGGUGAUAGAGUAUUUGUCAUAGGAUAGAGUCGUAUUUAAUAAAGCGCACACUUGAUCAAGCGUCUCCAUGAAGGGUAAUAGAGUAAAUUGACACCCUCGAAUUAGCCAAUCAAAAUCUGGCAUUUUGACAUGAAGUAUAAUAAAUGAUAUUAUGACAUUAUAACCAACAUAACCAGCAAUCAUCCCAAAAAGUAUAUUUCACUUAAAAAUAUAGGAAAUGUAUCAAUCGAUUUUAAAGACGGGCAUUAUAUUUUUUGUAAGAUAUGUUAUUAAGUACAAAAUAGUUUUCAACAUAAUGUCUAAUAGCAUGAUGAAGUAUAUUAGUUUGUUCAUUUAUAAUACGUUUUGCUUUUUUAAAUAUCAAAAGCAGUUCAAAUCUUCUCCUCUUUCUAAAUUUUACAUAUAGCACGUCAAAAGUACGUUUGUAACAAGUGCUGAUAUCAUUUGGAUUAAAUAAAACAUAAUCUGUCGCAUUAUAUUUUAAGGCAAAAAAAAACCCCGCAUUUCCAUGUAUAUAAAAAACAGACACAGUGUUAUUGCUAAAGACCAAAAUACCAAACAGAUAGCAAAUUUUUCAAGUUUAAACAACCAGUUCAUUUCUUUGAAUUAGUUUAUAUUAGCAAUCAUGUGUUACAACCAAACAGCAAAUGUCGAUAUCUUCUCUUAACAUGAUUAAUAAAUGUAUCAUACUGUUGUUAUCAGAUAUAUAUAUGAUCACGAAGGUAACACUUUUACAAAUGGCUUAUUUUGCAGGACUAAGGGUUUGUUUUAUAAAUUCUACAUAAUUUCUCUUAUUAUUUAUUUUUAAAUAUUUCCUUGUAGUGUCGUGACAUAUAUGGCCUCCUUCUCCAACAGUUGUGGUGUGUGUGACCUCCGACACAUUACCAAACAAUCCAUAGUCUGGUGCACGGAAUGUGAUGAAGCACUUUGUAAAGAUUGUCAGGAACACCAUAGUUUGUCCAAGGGAACCAAAAACCAUAAAACUAUAGCAAUUACGGAAUACAUGAACUUACCUAAUGAUGUACUCAGAAUAACUCAAAACUGUGUCAAACACCAAGAAAAGUUUAUUAUUUAUUGCCGGAUUCAUGAAAGUCCCUGCUGUGGAAAGUGUGUAAUUGAAAGCCACAAAGAAUGCCGGGAUAUCGAAAAUUUAGAUGAUGUCAUUAAAAAUGUCAAAACUUCAAAUGCUGUAUACGAGAUCGAGGAAACAUUGGUUGAAGUAGCAGAAAAUUUACAGAAAAUCCGUCAACAACAACAAAAAAAUCUGUCGACAUUAAAAGUGAAAAGAAAAGAAAUUGAGAAAGAUAUUCGAAAGACCAGAGCAACGAUCAACAACCAUCUAGACAAACUACAGGAAGAUUUAUUGAAACAACUUGAUGCCGUUGAAGAAAGAGAAAACUUAAAUAUGUGUCAGUUGUUGUCUACAUUAGAAAAGAAAGAACAAGAAGUAUCAGAUAAACAGAGAAACCUUGCGAACAUAAAACAGUAUGCAUCAGAACUUCAGCUGUUUCUUUCAAUUAAGCAAAUCGAAGAAGACAUAUCUAGGAAAGUAAAUAUCCUGAACUCACUACUCCAAGAAGAAAAUUUAAAGAACAAUUUCCUAGAAUACAAACUCAACACUGCUAUUCAGAACAUCUUGACCGAUAUCAAAAGUUUUGGAGAUAUCCACAUUGAAGCAAAACCGUGUGAAAUUGUUAUUAGCAGAAAGAAAACCAAACAAGCACAAAUAAUGGUACCGGUUGUUCCAUCAAGAUCAAUUGAAAGUAUAAAACUGAAGAAAAUCAAGACAAUACAAAAUAAAGGAAACUUUACCUGUGGAUGUUGUAUGUUACCAGAUGGUAGAAUGGUGUUUACUUACUACUUAAAAUCGGCAGUAGAAGUAUUCAGCGUUACAGGAUUUAAAGAAUUCGAGGUCAAGACGCCAUGCAACGCGUUUGAUGUAGUGUAUAUCAGUGAUAACAAUGCAUUAGCUGUUACAUAUGGUGGUUCAGAGAAGAAAUGUAUUACCAUUAUCGACUUGGAGAAGAAAGAAAUAAAGAAAACAAUUACACUGGAUUCGUAUAAUUAUGGAAUAACACUGAAAGAUAGUCAAUUAAUCUUUUCGGGACAUGACAAAGGGAUAAGAAUGAUCAAUCCAUGUGACGAGUCUACAAGUACCAUAGUCAGAGAAGAAGUGCCGAGUGAGUGUUACAUUGCAACUUUUGGAAACCGAAUAUAUCACACAAACCGUCUGAUUCAUACCGUUACUUGUUAUAAUCAGCAAGGUAAACCGCUAUGGACUUUUCAUAACAAAAGCAUUCUGAAGUCUCCCUAUGGUAUUGAUGUAGAUACGAAUGGUAAUUUGUAUGUUGCUGGAUCUAACUCGAACAAUGUUGUAGUUAUCUCCCCUGACGGACAACAACAUAGAGAAGUGUUGGGAACAAGUGAUGGUCUGUCACAACCGAUGUCACUUUGUUAUAACAAAUCAAAGAAUCAGUUGCUCGUUUCUAACUUUCAAACCGUGGCUCAAUUGUUUGAUUUUGUUUGAAACUAUUACUCGAAUAUUGCCUCUUUCAUAAUGUAUUCUUCUCAUUGUAGAUAUUCGUAUCGAGCAUUUUCCUCGGAGUGCAGUUUUUUUAGUGGUUUUACUUUUUACGUUUAAAUUUCUAAAUUUUGAGAUGAUUUGAAAACAAGAU